GGGGCCGUAUUUGGUUUCGACGGGGAUGCGAAGGGGCAGAGAAGCGAGCGGCGGCCCUGAACCGCCUAAAAACGGGAAACUUAAAUGAACUGACGAAUCUAAUUUCGUUCCUGUCGCCGCUUAAUCGGCGAUCGUCGAACCUGAGCGUCCUGCCGCGCAGAUCAUCGGCGUCGUAAAAGCAGGGAACCAGCCGCCAUAAGCUUUGCCGGCGGUGGGAUUUAUGAAGCUACUGAUGCCGCAAUCCCGUCUGUGGGAGUUCGGCGGAGGGAAUGUCAAAACGCAGACUGCGCUCGGAGAUGCUCUGAUUCUUUGGUCUUCGGACAGGGGUUCGACUCCCCUCGGCUCCACCA
This 350-nucleotide transfer-messenger RNA is filed under the name Christensenellales. Its description in RNAcentral is "UBA2862 sp902777335 Standard tmRNA". It matches the Rfam family "transfer-messenger RNA". From Rfam's summary of the family: Bacterial tmRNA, also known as 10Sa RNA or SsrA, is named for its dual tRNA and mRNA-like properties. Its role is to liberate the mRNA from a stalled ribosome. To accomplish this part of the tmRNA is used as a reading frame that ends in a translation stop signal. Lineage: Bacteria; Bacillati; Bacillota; Clostridia. The record is from RNAcentral. RNAcentral also lists the same sequence under 1 other name.